UACGUAGGGUGCAAGCGUUAAUCGGAAUUACGGGGCGUAAAGCGUGCGCAGGCGGUUUUGUAAGUCUGUCGUGAAAGCCCCGGGCUCAACCUGGGAAUUGCGAUGGAGACUGCAAGGCUUGAAUCUGGCAGAGGGGGGUAGAAUUCCACGUGUAGCAGUGAAAUGCGUAGAGAUGUGGAGGAACACCGAUGGCGAAGGCAGCCCCCUGGGUCAAGAUUGACGCUCAUGCACGAAAGCGUGGGGAGCAAACAGG
This 253-nucleotide ribosomal RNA is filed under the name uncultured bacterium. Its description in RNAcentral is "partial 16S ribosomal RNA". It matches the Rfam family "Bacterial small subunit ribosomal RNA", at positions 524 to 776 of the family's 1533-position model. The record is from RNAcentral.